This is an unclassified non-coding RNA of Macaca fascicularis (crab-eating macaque), 148 nucleotides long. It matches the Rfam family "Metazoan signal recognition particle RNA". From Rfam's summary of the family: The signal recognition particle (SRP) is a universally conserved ribonucleoprotein. It is involved in the co-translational targeting of proteins to membranes. The record is from Ensembl. Lineage: Eukaryota; Metazoa; Chordata; Mammalia; Primates; Cercopithecidae.
GCCGGGCGUGGUGGCGCAUGCCUGUAAUCCCAGCUACUCAGGUGGCUGAAGCAGGGGAAUCACUUGAACCCGGGAGGCGGAGGUUGCAGUGAGCUGAGAUCAUACCACUGCACCCCACCCUGGGUGACAGAGUGAGACCCUGUCUCGG